RNAcentral lists this long non-coding RNA (773 nucleotides) under Gossypium barbadense (sea-island cotton). RNAcentral's name for it is "long non-coding RNA (GBAR_LNC009667)". The record is from RNAcentral. Lineage: Eukaryota; Viridiplantae; Streptophyta; Magnoliopsida; Malvales; Malvaceae.
AUUAAUAGACUUUAAAAGUAUUUCAUUCAACAAGCGUUUAUUGGAAAUGAUAAAAAGAACACCGCGAAUGGAUUGUGGCAAUAUGAAAAUUUAUUAAGCCAAAUUUCAAUUAAGGCAUAGGCUUCACUCGAAGUUCGAUUAUGUCCCUAAGUUAUUCCGCAUAUGUCUAUGUCAAAACUAACAUAGAAAUCACCCUUUCGAGCAUUUACACAGUUUAUGCAUACAAUAAUCAUCUUUUGAUAUCGACAUGAUAUGCACCAUUUAAGUGUGUUUUGAAUUAACCAUUACCUCUUCUUAGACUAAACAGUUAAUUCAUUAACUUACAAAUGUUGGCCAUACAUUUACAAGUAGAAUCAUGAAUUAAACUUAAAUGAAUAAAAUAACCAUUUGCACAAAAUAUUAAAAAAAACUAAUUAACUCAAAUAGAGAUUCAUAUUCAUACUAAAUAAAAAAAAUUAAGUUAUGUCAUAUUAAAUUUGCAAUAAAGAGAAAGGGAGAAAGAGUAGCUGAGGGGGGUUAUCCAUGGCCAUUUCUCGAUAAGAAAAGGAAACACUUGAAGUGCAGGCAGUUAUCUGUAACUGUUACUUGCGGCUACCCAUGGUGGGUCUCCUCCUCAUCUUUAUACUAAAUCAUCUAAACGCCUUCAAGUCAUCCUUCCUAGUUGCUCUCAUUUUCGACAAGUGUAUGCCUUAUUUUGUGGUGAUCAAGUGUUUAGCAAGCCAUGAGAAAGGCAAGAACGCUCAAAGGAAUUUUUCAUUGAAAUCUAAUGUAGA